AGAGUUUGAUCCUGGCUCAGGAUGAACGCUGGCGGCGUGCUUAACACAUGCAAGUCGAACGAAGCACCUUGAUUUGAUUCUUCGGAUGAAGAUCUUGGUGACUGAGUGGCGGACGGGUGAGUAACGCGUGGGUAACCUGCCUCAUACAGGGGGAUAACAGUUAGAAAUGACUGCUAAUACCGCAUAAGACCACAGCACCGCAUGGUGCAGGGGUAAAAACUCCGGUGGUAUGAGAUGGACCCGCGUCUGAUUAGGUAGUUGGUGGGGUAACGGCCUACCAAGCCGACGAUCAGUAGCCGACCUGAGAGGGUGACCGGCCACAUUGGGACUGAGACACGGCCCAAACUCCUACGGGAGGCAGCAGUGGGGAAUAUUGCACAAUGGGGGAAACCCUGAUGCAGCGACGCCGCGUGAGCGAUGAAGUAUUUCGGUAUGUAAAGCUCUAUCAGCAGGGAAGAAAAUGACGGUACCUGACUAAGAAGCACCGGCUAAAUACGUGCCAGCAGCCGCGGUAAUACGUAUGGUGCAAGCGUUAUCCGGAUUUACUGGGUGUAAAGGGAGCGUAGACGGAGUGGCAAGUCUGAUGUGAAAACCCGGGGCUCAACCCCGGGACUGCAUUGGAAACUGUCAAUCUAGAGUACCGGAGAGGUAAGCGGAAUUCCUAGUGUUGCGGUGAAAUGCGUAGAUAUUAGGAGGAACUCCGAUUGCGAAGGCAGCUCACUGGAGCGCAACUGACGCUGAAGCUCGAAAGUGCGGGUACCGAACAGGAUUAGAUACCCUGGUAGUCCGCACGGUAAACGAUGGAUGCCCGCUGUUGGUCUGAAUAGGUCAGCGGCCAAGCGAAAGCAUUAAGCAUCCCACCUGGGGAGUACGCCGGCAACGGUGAAACUCAAAGGAAUUGACGGGGGCCCGCACAAGCGGAGGAACAUGUGGUUUAAUUCGAUGAUACGCGAGGAACCUUACCCGGGCUUGAAUUGCAGAGGAAGGAUUUGGAGACAAUGACGCCCUUCGGGGCCUCUGUGAAGGUGCUGCAUGGUUGUCGUCAGCUCGUGCCGUGAGGUGUCGGCUUAAGUGCCAUAACGAGCGCAACCCCUCUCCUUAGUUGCCAUCAGGUUAAGCUGGGCACUCUGGGGACACUGCCACCGUAAGGUGUGAGGAAGGUGGGGAUGACGUCAAAUCAGCACGGCCCUUACGUCCGGGGCUACACACGUGUUACAAUGGCAGGUACAGAGAGACGGUUGUACGUAAGUACGAUCAAAUCCUUAAAGCCUGUCUCAGUUCGGACUGGGGUCUGCAACCCGACCCCACGAAGCUGGAUUCGCUAGUAAUCGCGCAUCAGCCAUGGCGCGGUGAAUACGUUCCCGGGCCUUGUACACACCGCCCGUCAAGCCAUGAAAGCCGGGGGCGCCUAAAGUCCGUGACCGUAAGGAGCGGCCUAGGGCGAAACUGGUAAUUGGGGCUAAGUCGUAACAAGGUA
RNAcentral lists this ribosomal RNA (1477 nucleotides) under metagenome. RNAcentral's name for it is "bacterial SSU rRNA". It matches the Rfam family "Bacterial small subunit ribosomal RNA". The record is from RNAcentral.